AAUGGAUUGGCAGAAUAGUGCCACCGACUUAGGAUCGGUACAUGGAGUUUUACUCCAUCCAUUAC
This 65-nucleotide transfer RNA is filed under the name Zophoscolex atlanticus. Its description in RNAcentral is "tRNA-Leu". The record is from RNAcentral. Lineage: Eukaryota; Metazoa; Annelida; Clitellata; Crassiclitellata; Lumbricidae.